This 1193-nucleotide unclassified non-coding RNA is filed under the name Polistes canadensis. RNAcentral describes it as "probable methyltransferase-like protein 15 homolog, transcript variant X2". Lineage: Eukaryota; Metazoa; Arthropoda; Insecta; Hymenoptera; Vespidae. The record is from RNAcentral.
UGAUUGGAAAAUGCGUGCUAUUGCAUUCUAAUGCACCAAUAAAAAGCACAAAAUAAAAUAUAAAUUGUAAUUAUUGAUCAAUAAAUAAAAUGUGAUUUUUUUUUGUUUAAAAGUAAAUUUUGAUAGAUUUCAUUUAAAUAAUAUCCAAAUAUUUAACUCAAUUAUAUUGGUUGAAUUGGUACUUUCUAACCUGCAAAUAAAAAUAUAUGCGUGCAUGACAAGAAAGAACGAAUUAUUGAAAACCGGAGUUUAUGUUAUGCAAGUUAGGACAUGGCUGGUAACUAUAGGAAUUUUUUGAAAUUGCUAGAAUCUUGGCCAUUAGAUAAGUCAAAACUGGGCAGGGAUUUAGGGCAACAUAUUCGUGAUCAAGUGAAACUUACUUUUUCAAAAGGUGCUAUUACUGCUCCAGUGGAUCAAGAACAAUGUGACCGAUAUUAUGGAAGUUUGAAAAGAAUCAUUUCUAAUCAUUAUGGACAAAUAUACACACGUAGUUUCAAAAGCACUGCAAGUGGCUUAACAGUAGAACAAUGUAAUAUUGCAUUAAGUCCUGAGAUGAAAGAAUAUCUUGAAGAAGAAAAUAAGUAUUUUGGUAUAAGACGUAUGAAGCUACAACAAAUUCAGCUCCAGCAGAUACAUAUAUGUCAUUAACAUCAAGUUUAAAACCUGUUGGAGCACCUUUGAUAGAUGGAUCUCCUGUUAAUGAAUUGGCUGUUUUUGCCAUGCAUAUAGGCGAUAACUGCAUCUGCCAAAUCUGCUGCACCUGCUCCACCAUCAGCCCAGUGAGUGCAGAUCACUGUAUCUACUGCACCACUCUCUGAUGACACUUUUUGGAUAAGCUGUAGUUCAGCUUCUGUAUCGCUGUUCCUGGGUUUACUACUGGACCACCACCAUGCAUUUUCAAGGCUCUUACAGUUGUAACAAGAACUACAGCAUUUGGUACGAGCCCAGAUGUUCUACACUUAAUAUCAAAGAAUUUUUCCAUGCCUAUAUCGGAACCAAAUCCAGCUUCUGUCACUACGAUACCAUUUGGUCCGACUAGUUUCAAUGCAAUAGCGUCUGCUAUUAUCGAGGAACAACCGUGUGCGAUAUUAGCGAAGGGACCAGCAUGAACCAUUACAGGUGUACCUUCCAAAGAUUGCAUAAGUGUUGGUUCGAUCGCAUCUUUCAGAAGGAUAACCAUUGCACCAGUCAUA